UUUAGAAGGUUGUAAUGGGCAGGCAGGCAGUGCAAGGAAAGUGAAGGCACAUUGUAGGCGCGGUUGGCAGGCGUGCAACAGUGUUUGUGUGGCCACGCGCGUCUCCCGGCACACUCCGCGACACCUCGAUGUUUGGGUUUAUUUAGGUUUAGCUUGAAAAUUACAAAUCUACAAUGAGUUUUGAGUCGACCACCAGUUCUGCGCUCCCUGAAGGGGAGACCCGCACCAACCUCAUCAUUAAUUACCUCCCACAAACUCUAACUGACCAAGAGUUUUACAAGAUAUUUGUUGUUGUUGGACCUAUUAAAAACUGCCGCAUUAUGAAGGACAUGAAGCAGACUGGCUAUUCAUUUGGCUUUGGCUUCGUGGAGUACCAGAAGCCAGAAGAUGCAGCCAAGGCCAUCCUACAGUUGAAUAACCUGCCGGUGCAGCACAAACGUAUCAAAGUGUCUUAUGCUCGGCCACCGGGAGAAGACAUUAAGGAAACUAACCUUUAUAUACAGAAUAUUCCUAGAUCAUACACAUUAGACCAGCUUGAAGAGUUAUUUUCUGUAUAUGGUCAAAUUGUGCAGAAAAAUCUUCUAAAGGACAAAGUAACUGGACUUCCGAGAGGUGUUGGUUUUGUCAGGUUUGAUAAAAAGUCACAAGCUGAGGCGGCAAUCAGUGGCAUGAAUGGCGUGGUCCCUGAGGGUGGCACAGAGCCCCUAGUGGUGAAGGUGGCAGAAGAACAUGGAAAGAUGAAGGCAGCUUAUUAUGCUGGAUACCAUGCAGGAAUUAACAAUUUGAGAGGUGGAGGAGCUGGCCGAGGGCGUGGAAACUAUAAUAGCCGUGGAGGCAGCGGCGGUGGCGGUGGAGGUUACCAGGGUCGUGGCAACUACAAUAAUAUGUAUCAUCACAGGUGGUACUGAGCCGAGGAGUGGAAGGUGAUGCCAGCGCCACCCGCCCUCAUCCUCCUCGCAAGCAGCAGAAUCGUCAGUACCACCAGGGCGGCAAGAUGGCCCCAGACCGAACUGCCAAUCGCUAUAACCCCAUCGGCA
Molecule: unclassified non-coding RNA, 1037 nt
Filed under: Portunus trituberculatus (swimming crab)
Lineage: Eukaryota; Metazoa; Arthropoda; Malacostraca; Decapoda; Portunidae
Description: sex-lethal homolog, transcript variant X2
Source: RNAcentral